RNAcentral lists this ribosomal RNA (417 nucleotides) under uncultured bacterium. Its description in RNAcentral is "partial 16S ribosomal RNA". It matches the Rfam family "Bacterial small subunit ribosomal RNA", at positions 360 to 774 of the family's 1533-position model. The record is from RNAcentral.
AAUAUUGGUCAAUGGAGGCAACUCUGAACCAGCCAUGCCGCGUGCAGGAUGACGGUCCUAUGGAUUGUAAACUGCUUUUGUACAGGAAGAAAAAGAGCUACGAGUAGCUUAUUGACGGUACUGUAAGAAUAAGGAUCGGCUAACUCCGUGCCAGCAGCCGCGGUAAUACGGAGGAUCCAAGCGUUAUCCGGAAUCAUUGGGUUUAAAGGGUCCGUAGGCGGCCUUAUAAGUCAGCGGUGAAAGUUUUUGGCUUAACCAAAAAAUUGCCGUUGAUACUGUAGGGCUUGAAUGUGAUCGAAGGAGGCGGAACGGGACAAGUAGCGGUGAAAUGCAUAGAUAUGUCCCAGAACCCCGAUUGCGAAGGCAGCUUCCUAGAACAUAAUUGACGCUGAUGCACGAAAGCGUGGGGAUCGAACA